GACGAACGCUGGCGGCGUGCUUAACACAUGCAAGUCGAACGGAAAGGCCCUGCUUUUGUUGGGUUCUCGAGUGGCGAACGGGUGAGUAACACGUGAGUAACCUGCCCUUGACUUUGGGAUAACUUCAGGAAACUGGGGCUCAUACCGGAUAUGAGCUCCUGCUGCAUGGUGGGGGUUGGUAAGUUUCGGCGGUUGGGGAUGGACUCGCGGCUUAUCAGCUUGUUGGUGGGGUAGUGGCUUACCAAGGCUUUGAGGGGUAGCCGGCCUGAGAGGGUGACCGGCCACAUGGGGACUGAGAUACGGACCAGACUCAUACGGGAGGCAGCAGGGGGGAAUAUGGCACAAUGGGCGGAAGCCUGAUGCAGCAACGCCGCGUGCGGGAUGACGGCCUUCGGGGUGUAAACCGCUUUCGCCUGUGACGAAGCGUGAGUGACGGUAAUGGGUAAAGAAGCACCGGCUAACUACGUG
RNAcentral lists this ribosomal RNA (468 nucleotides) under uncultured bacterium. RNAcentral describes it as "partial 16S ribosomal RNA". It matches the Rfam family "Bacterial small subunit ribosomal RNA", at positions 28 to 507 of the family's 1533-position model. The record is from RNAcentral.